AGUCAGACGAUGAAGCCCAGCUUUGCUAGGUGGAUUAGUGGCGAACCGGUGAGUAACACGUGAGUAACCUGCCCUUGACUCUGGGAUAAGCCUGGGAAACUGGGUCUAAUAGCGGAUAGGAACGUCCACCGCAUGGUGGGUGUUGGAAAGAUUUAUCGGUCAUGGAUGGACUCGCGGCCUAUGAGCUGUUGGUGAGGUAAUUGGCUCACCAAGGCGACGACGGGUAGCCGGCCUGAGAGGGUGACCGGCCACACUGGGACUGAGACACGGCCCAGACUCCUACGGGAGGCAGCAGUGGGGAAUAUUGCACAAUGGGCGAAAGCCUGAUGCAGCGACGCCGCGUGAGGGAUGACGGCCUUCGGGUUGUAAACCUCUUUCAGUAGGGAAGAAGCGAAAGUGACGGUACCUGCAGAAGAAGCACCGGCUAACUACGUGCCAGCAGCCGCGGUAAUACGUAGGGUGCGAGCGUUAUCCGGAAUUAUUGGGCGUAAAGAGCUCGUAGGCGGUUUGUCGCGUCUGUCGUGAAAGUCCGGGGCUUAACCCCGGAUCUGCGGUGGGUACGGGCAGACUAGAGUGCAGUAGGGGAGACUGGAAUUCCUGGUGUAGCGGUGGAAUGCGCAGAUAUCAGGAGGAACACCGAUGGCGAAGGCAGGUCUCUGGGCUGUAACUGACGCUGAGGAGCGAAAGCAUGGGGAGCGAACAGGAUUAGAUACCCUGGUAGUCCAUGCCGUAAACGUUGGGCACUAGGUGUGGGGACCAUUCCACGGUUUCCGCGCCGCAGCUAACGCAUUAAGUGCCCCGCCUGGGGAGUACGGCCGCAAGGCUUAAACUCAAAGGAAUUGACGGGGGCCCGCACAAGCGGCGGAGCAUGCGGAUUAAUUCGAUGCAACGCGAAGAACCUUACCAAGGCUUGACAUGUUCUCGAUCGCCGUAGAGAUACGGUUUCCCCUUUGGGGCGGGAUCACAGGUGGUGCAUGGUUGUCGUCAGCUCGUGUCGUGAGAUGUUGGGUUAAGUCCCGCAACGAGCGCAACCCUCGUUCGAUGUUGCCAGCACGUAAUGGUGGGGACUCAUGGGAGACUGCCGGGGUCAACUCGGAGGAAGGUGGGGACGACGUCAAAUCAUCAUGCCCCUUAUGUCUUGGGCUUCACGCAUGCUACAAUGGCCGGUACAAUGGGUUGCGAUACUGUGAGGUGGAGCUAAUCCCAAAAAGCCGGUCUCAGUUCGGAUUGGGGUCUGCAACUCGAGCCCAAUGAAGUCGGAGUCGCUAGUAAUCGCAGAUCAGCAACGCUGCGGUGAAUACGUUCCCGGGCCUUUGUACACACCGGCCGUCAAGUCACGAAAGUCCCUAACACCCGAAGCCG
Molecule: ribosomal RNA, 1362 nt
Filed under: Micrococcus endophyticus
Lineage: Bacteria; Bacillati; Actinomycetota; Actinomycetes; Micrococcales; Micrococcaceae
Description: bacterial SSU rRNA
Rfam family: Bacterial small subunit ribosomal RNA
Source: RNAcentral